UACGAAGGGGGCUAGCGGUGCUCGGAAUCACUGGGCGUAAAGGGCACGUAGGCGGAUUGCUAAGUCAGGGGUGAAAUCCUGGAGCUCAACUCCAGAACUGCCUUUGAUACUGGCGACCUUGAGUCCGGGAGAGGUGAGUGGAACUGCGAGUGUAGAGGUGAAAUUCGUAGAUAUUCGCAAGAACACCAGUGGCGAAGGCGGCUCACUGGCCCGGUACUGACGCUGAGGUGCGAAAGCGUGGGGAGCAAACAGG
RNAcentral lists this ribosomal RNA (253 nucleotides) under uncultured bacterium. RNAcentral's name for it is "partial 16S ribosomal RNA". It matches the Rfam family "Bacterial small subunit ribosomal RNA", at positions 524 to 776 of the family's 1533-position model. The record is from RNAcentral.